Molecule: ribosomal RNA, 388 nt
Filed under: uncultured bacterium
Lineage: Bacteria
Description: bacterial SSU rRNA
Rfam family: Bacterial small subunit ribosomal RNA
Source: RNAcentral
UACCUCUUAGCAGGGAUAACAUUGGAAACAAAUGCUAAUACCGUAUAAUAAUUAAACCGCAUGGUUUAGUUUAAAGAUGGUCUUGCUAUCACUAAGAGAUGGUCCCGCGGUGUAUUAGUUAGUUGGUGAGGUAAUGGCUCACCAAGACAAUGAUACAUAGCCGAGUUGAGAGACUGACCGGCCACAAUGGGACUGAGACACGGCCCAUACUCCUACGGGAGGCAGCAGUAGGGAAUCUUCCACAAUGGACGAAAGUCUGAUGGAGCAACGCCGCGUGUGUGAUGAAGGGUUUCGGCUCGUAAAACACUGUUGUAAGAGAAGAAUGACAUUGAGAGUAACUGUUCAAUGUGUGACGGUAUCUUACCAGAAAGGAACGGCUAAAUACGUG